CCUACGGGAGGCUGCAGUGGGGAAUAUUGGACAAUGGGCGAAAGCCUGAUCCAGCCAUGCCGCGUGUGUGAAGAAGGCCUUCGGGUUGUAAAGCACUUUCAGUGGGGAAGAAAGCCUUGGGGCUAAUACCCUCGAGGAAGGACAUCACCCACAGAAGAAGCACCGGCUAACUCCGUGCCAGCAGCCGCGGUAAUACGGAGGGUGCGAGCGUUAAUCGGAAUUACUGGGCGUAAAGCGCGCGUAGGCGGUCUGAUAAGCCGGUUGUGAAAGCCCCGGGCUCAACCUGGGAACGGCAUCCGGAACUGUCAGGCUAGAGUGCAGGAGAGGAAGGUAGAAUUCCCGGUGUAGCGGUGAAAUGCGUAGAGAUCGGGAGGAAUACCAGUGGCGAAGGCGGCCUUCUGGACUGACACUGACGCUGAGGUGCGAAAGCGUGGGUAGCAAACAGGAUUAGAUACCCGGGUGUC
RNAcentral lists this ribosomal RNA (464 nucleotides) under Vreelandella stevensii. Its description in RNAcentral is "partial 16S ribosomal RNA". It matches the Rfam family "Bacterial small subunit ribosomal RNA", at positions 338 to 795 of the family's 1533-position model. Lineage: Bacteria; Pseudomonadati; Pseudomonadota; Gammaproteobacteria; Oceanospirillales; Halomonadaceae. The record is from RNAcentral.